UACGGGGGGGGCAAGCGUUGUUCGGAAUUACUGGGCGUAAAGGGCUCGUAGGUGGCCAACUAAGUCAGACGUGAAAUCCCUCAGCUUAACUGGGGAACUGCGUCUGAUACUGGCAGGCUUGAAUUCGGGAGAGGGAUGCGGAAUUCCAGGUGUAGCGGUGAAAUGCGUAGAUAUCUGGAGGAACACCGGUGGCGAAGGCGGCAUCCUGGACCGAGAUUGACGCUGAGGCGCGAAAGCCAGGGGAGCAAACGGG
RNAcentral lists this ribosomal RNA (253 nucleotides) under uncultured bacterium. RNAcentral's name for it is "partial 16S ribosomal RNA". It matches the Rfam family "Bacterial small subunit ribosomal RNA", at positions 524 to 776 of the family's 1533-position model. The record is from RNAcentral.